Leucoraja erinaceus (little skate) is the source of this 5178-nucleotide RNA transcript. It is a transcript of the gene named solute carrier family 22 member 2-like, with no coding region annotated. NCBI's taxonomy places the organism in Eukaryota, Metazoa, Chordata, Chondrichthyes, Rajiformes, Rajidae. The record is from RefSeq and is a predicted model, not a curated record. The transcript is spliced from 8 exons.
AUUGCUUGAUUUUAGAUAAAUGGCUAAAUGUUUUUCAAUCUUUGGUACAUUUGUGUGUGCAUCACAGUGGCACAAUGGUUAGAGCUGCUCAAAACCUUGGACAACCCCGUCCAAUCCUGACCUCAAGUCCACAGCUCCCUGAAAGUGGCAACACAAGUACACCGGAUGGUAAAGAAGAUGGAUGGUAUGCUUGCCUUCAUCAGUCAGAGCUUUGUAUGUUCAUGUUAUAGGAGCAGAAUUAGGCCAUUCGGCCCAUCAAGUCUACUCCAUGGUUGAUCUAUCUUUCCCUCUCAACCCCAUUCUCCUGCCUUCUCUCCAUAACCCCUGACUCCCGUACUAAUUAAGAAUCUAUCAAUCUCCGUCUUAAAAAUAUCCAUUGACUUGACCUCCACAGCCGCCUGUGUCAAUGAAUUCCACAGAUUCACCACCCUCUGACGAAAUAAAUUCCUCCUUUCUAAAGGUACGUCUUUUUAUUCUGAGGCUAUUGAAAAAUGAUUGUAACUUGUUUGUGUGGAUGUCUGACCUAACACAGCAAGUAGCUGCCCCAUUCACUUAUUAACUAGAAUAACCGAGUGAUUUACUCCGUUAAUUUGUAGACCUUUGCUCUCCUGAUAUUUUUGUGAAAACAGGCGUCUUGUGGCAUGUCGGUGAGGAGGUCUGUGGGUGGACAACGCUACCCUGGCUGGGCAUUCAACUCCCCUUCACCAUGGCCACGUUUGACGAUAUCCUGGUAGAAGUGGGAGGCUUUGGCCCAUACCAGAGAAGAGUGUUCAUCCUGAUAUACCUAACGUCACCCAUCUUCUCCUGGCUGUACUUCGGCUUUGUGUUCCUGGCCGUUACUCCCGACCAUUGGUGCAGGAGUCCCGGUGUGUCCGCACUGAGGGCCAAAUGCAACUGGUCCCUGGAGCAGGAGAAGAACUUCACGCUGCCCGCGGGCCGCGCUGGGAGCUCCCCGUACAGUCAGUGCGAGAGGUUCGACAUAGACUGGAAUUCCUCCUCCGUUAGCUGUGAAGAUCCACUUCCCUUCUCCUGGAAUCAUUCCCGAGAUCUUCCCCUGACAAGGUGCCGGGACGGAUGGGUUUUUGAAAACGGUUCGAUCUCCAGCAUUGUAACCGAGUUUGAGCUGGUGUGCACGGAUGCCUGGAAGGUAGAUCUAACUCAGGCCUGCCUCAACCUGGGCUUCAUGGUGGGGACGAUCGCCAUUGGCUACGCGGCGGACAUGUUUGGCCGCAGGUCCUGCUUCCUGUUCGCCACCUUCGUGACCUUGGUCGCUGGUUUGCCGCUGGCGUUUGCCACGAGUUACCCCUGCUUCCUGAUCCUACGCACUCUGCAAGGUCUCUUCAGCCGAGGCGGAUGGAUCGCUGCUCAGGUCCUAAUGACGGAGCUGGUGGUUUCGGAACAGAGGAGGCGAGCGGGAAUCCUCAACCAGAUGUGCUUCAGUUUGGGGAUGAUGCUCCUGCCAGCUGUUGCCUACUGGCUACCGGCCUGGAGAGACCUGCAGCUGGUUAUCACCGCCCCAAACCUGCUCUUCCUCGCCUACUACUGGCUGAUCCCCGAGUCUCCCCGGUGGAUGAUGUCCCGACGGAAGGAAGCGGAGGCGGUUCGGAUUCUACGGCAGGUGGCAGCAAGGAACGGCGCUCGCUGGUCGCCCACGGCUCAGACUGUUACCAUGGAGGAGAGGGAUGGAGAGGUGACUCGUCCAACCCUGCUGGACCUGGUCAGGACUCCAAGGAUGAGGAAACACACUUUGAUUCUGAUGAUAAACUGGUUUGCCAGCGCUCUGGUCUACCAAGGGCUGGCCAUGCGCUUGGGAACGCUGGGUGGAAACAUCUACCUUAACUUCUUCAUCUCUGGAGCUGUGGAAAUCCCGGCCUCGAUCAUCGUCUUUCUGGUCAUCGAGAGGAUUGGGCGCCGCCUUCCCUUCGCUGCCGGCGGGCUCGUGUCGGGGGCAUCCUGCCUGAUCGCAGCCUUCAUACCCGAGAGCAAGUAUCCCAUGGAGCAUGGUGCGGUCCAGGUUAAUGAGGAUCAGGAGGCAACAGUCAAUGAGGGGGAUAUGUGUGGUAGAGCAGUGUAGACCGUAAAAUCUAUAGCAUAUAGAGCAUAGAACAGAAAACAUUGAGCGUAGAACAUGGAGCGUAGAGAAUAGAGUGUAGAGCAUGGAACAGCACAGGAUAGCACAGGAACAGUCCCUUUGGCUCUGUGCAAAAAAUGAUGCUGGUUCAACUAAUCUCUUCUGCCUGCACAUGAUCCAUGCCCUCCAAUCCCUGCAUAUCCAGAUGUUUGAAAACAUGUGGUCUGUAGUUCCGGUGUAGAUCUUUGUAAACAUCAAAUCCUGAGCUGGAGAGAACUGGACCUUGUUACAUCUCCCUGCAAUUCCUUGGUUUGCUCAUCCCUUCCCACCCAAUUCAUCACCUCCAGGCCACUUUCCCCUGCAACACCUGGCCCUAUACCUCUUCCCCAUCUCCAUUCCUCUACAUCUGUGACUAGUGGAGCGCUGCAAGGCUCGGUGGAUGACACAAAGCUGGGUGGCAGUGUGAGCUGUGAGGAGCAUGCUAUGAGGCUGCAGGGUGACUUGGAUAGGUUGGGUGAGUGGGCAGAUGCAUGGCUGAUGCAGUAUAGUGUGGAUAAAUGUGAGGUUUUCUACUUUGGUGGCAAGAAGAACAAGGCAGAUUAUUAUCUGAAUGGUGUCAGAUUAGGACAAGGGGAGGUGCAAUGAGACCUAAGUGUGUUUGUACAUCAGUCACAGAAAGUAAACAUGUAGGAACAGCAGACAGUGAAGAAAACAAAUGGCUUGUUGGUCUUCAUUACGGGAGGAUUUGAGUUUAGGAGCAAGGAGGUCCUACUGCAUUUGUACAGGGCCCUGGUGAGACUGCAUCUGGAGCAAUAUUUGUCUCCUAAAUUGAGAAAGGAGAUUAUUGAUGUUGAGGGAGUGCAGCAUAGGUUCACCAGGUUAAUUCCCGAGAUGGCGGGACCGACAUAUGACGAAAGAAUGGGUUGAUUAGGCUUGUAUUCACUGGAAUUUAGGAUGAGAGGAGAUCCUAUAGAAACAUGUAAAAUUGUUAAAGGGUUCGAUUGGCUAGAUGCAGGAAAAAUCUUCCCAAUGUUGGGGGAGUCCAGAACCUGGGGUCACAGUUUAAGAAUAAGGGGUAAGCUAUUUAGCACUGAGAUGAGGAAAAACCUUUUCACCCAGAGAGUUGUGAAUCUGUGGAAUUCUCUGCCACAGAAGGCAGUGUAGGCCAAUUCACUGGAUGUUUUCAAGAGAGAGUUAGAUUUAGCUCUUAGGGCAAAAGGAAUCAAAGAAAAGCAGGAACGGGGUACUGAUUUAAGAUGAUCAGCCAUGAUCAUAUUGAAUGGAGGUGCUGCCUCAAAAGGCCGAAUGGCCUACUCCUGCACCUAUUUUUUUAUGUUUCUACCUAGCUUGUCGUAAUCCUUUGAUCAGUAUUCCUUAAUCUUGGAAGCAGUUCUCCGAUAUGGUACCUUAUACCUAUGGUAAAUCUAUUUAUUCAUCAAUUUUUUGCAAAUUGUACAGAUGCACAGGGCAUAGGAGAGAUCACAUUAUUGUGGAGGGAAUCAGUCAUCUUAUUUCAGGAAGGAUGUUAAUUAAUUAGAAAUAAUUCAGAGAAGGUUCACCAGGGUAACACUUAGAUUUGUAUGGGGAAAGGUUGGUAGACACAAAAUGCUGGUGAAACUCAGCGGGCGAGGCAGCAUCUAUGGAGAGAAGGAAUUGGUGAUGUUUUGGGUCGAGACCCUGCUUCAGAUAACCCGUCUUCAGGUGUUGGACUGGAUAGCUUUGUAUUCCUGGAAGUUUAAUAGGAAAGUUGAUUUUAAUCAUUAAAAUUCCUGAAGGGUCUUGACAGGGUGGAUGUGGAGAGGACUUUCCUUUUGUGUGUCUAUCUAGUUUACGACAUCACAGGAGAUGGACACAAAGUGUUCGAGUAACUCAAGGGGACAGGCAGCAAGUUUAUAAAAUUAUGUGAGGCGUAGACAAGUGUAGAGAAUCAGAACCUUUUUCCCAGGAUGGAAACAUCAAAGACUACAGGGCAUAGCUUUAAGGUGGGAAGGAGCCAAAUUUAAAGGAUAUGUGCGGGGCAAGUUUGUAUUGCUUAAAGAGGGUGGUGUGUGCCUGGAACGCGCUGCCAGAGGUUGUGGUGAAGGCAGAUACAAUAGUCACCGUGAAUCAGAGGGUCGCAAGUCUUUGAAACUCUGUUCCUGAAAAGUUGGUGGAAGCAGACUUCAAUAUUUUUAAGUCAGGGGUAUUCUUGAUAAGCAAGAGAACAUAGAACAGUACAGUACAGCACAGCACAGGAACAGGCCCUUCGGCCCACAAUGACCGUGCUGAACAUGACACCAUGCUCAUCCCAACUCUUAUCUGCCUGCAUAUAAUCCGUAUCCCUCCAUUCCAUGCAUAUACAUGUGCUUUUCCAAAAGUCUCUCAAAUGCAUCUAUCAUAUCUGUCUCCACCACCACCCCAGCAACGUGUUCCAGCCACUCACCACUCUCUGUGUGUAAACCUAAAUUUUUACCUUAAAGGUAUGCCCUCCAAUAUUUGGCAUUUCCAUCCUAAGAAAGGUUUUGACUGCUUACCCAAUCUACGCUUCCCAUAACUUUAUAUACUUCUAUCACGUCUUCCCUCAAUUUCUGACAAAGAAGAGAGGUUAUGAUAUAUCUCAUGAAAUGAGCCUUAAUCUUAACGGGGGAUGGAAUGGAGAUGAAGGAGAAUUUCUUUAGCCAGAUGAUGGUCAAUCUGUGGAAUUUACUGCCACAGAUGGUCUUGGAGGCUAAGCCAUCGGGUUUUUUAAAGCAGGGAUUGAUAAGUUUGUGAUAAUCAUCAAAGGUUAUGGGGAGAGGGCAAAAGAAUGGGGUUGAGAGGGGAAAAUAGAUCAGCUAUGAUCAAAUGACAUAGCAGACACGAUAGGCCGAAUGGCCCAAUUCUGCUCCUAUGUCUUAUGGUCAAAUGGUAGUUUGCGAUAUUCUGAAGUUUAUUGGGAGGCAGGAUAUUUUGUGAGUUGGUCACAUUUCUUCCACUGUAGAUCUCCACUGGCUGAAGACCGUGGUCACGUCCUUGGGCAGGCUGGGCAUAACUAUCGCCAUUGAGAUGGUGUGCUUCGUAAACACAGAGUUGUACCCCACUUAUUUACGCAGGAGCUUCGGUGUGUCGGUGUGUGCCUCGCUGUCGGA